Molecule: long non-coding RNA, 357 nt
Filed under: Salmo salar (Atlantic salmon)
Lineage: Eukaryota; Metazoa; Chordata; Actinopteri; Salmoniformes; Salmonidae
Description: lncRNA (ENSSSAG00000119877.1)
Source: RNAcentral
CAGACCACCAGAUGGACAGGCUGUGUGUUUCUCUGAUUGCAUUCUUAUGUGCUGUUUCCUCCAGUCAGGAUGGGAUCUCUGCAGCAGAGGUGGAGCUGAGAGUCAGACCAGGAGACAACAUCACUCUCUACUGUGACUGUAACAUAACUUCUGGAGUAUACAUUAUGUGGUAUAGGAACUGUUCUCACAAGUACCAGCCUCCUCUAGUUAUUUCAACUAAGUUUUUAAGUUACAUCUCUCUCCCUGGAUAUAAUGUGGUGUGGAACCCCUCUAACAUCUCCUAUGAUCUACUGAUUGAGAACAUCACUGAAUCUGACCUGGGACUCUACUACUGUGGGACUGUGAAGUACAAGAUGG